GACGAACCGUGCGAACGUUGUUCGGAAUCACUGGGCUUAAAGGGCGCGUAGGCGGCCCCGCCAGUCUCGGGUGAAAUCUUCCGGCCCAACCGGAAAAGUGCCCGGGAUACUGCGGGGCUCGAGCGAGGCAGGGGCGGGGGGAACUUCCGGUGGAGCGGUGAAAUGCGUUGAUAUCGGAAGGAACGCCGGUGGCGAAAGCGCCCCGCUGGGCCUCUCCUGACGCUGAGGCGCGAAAGCCAGGGGAGCGAACGGG
Molecule: ribosomal RNA, 253 nt
Filed under: uncultured bacterium
Lineage: Bacteria
Description: partial 16S ribosomal RNA
Rfam family: Bacterial small subunit ribosomal RNA
Source: RNAcentral